This 945-nucleotide long non-coding RNA is filed under the name Neodiprion pinetum (white pine sawfly). Its description in RNAcentral is "uncharacterized LOC124212132, transcript variant X2". Lineage: Eukaryota; Metazoa; Arthropoda; Insecta; Hymenoptera; Diprionidae. The record is from RNAcentral.
UCCUGCCCACCUUCCUCGUUCGUUCCCUUUAUCGCGGCGUAAAAACGUCUCGACGCAUGCUGCUUACUUCUUACUUACUUAUAUAUGUAACCUGCACGUAUUGACGUAGGCUGUAUAAUAUUGUUGAAACGGGGGAACAAAACGGGUGAUUUCACCCUUUGUAACAAUAUUAAUAAUAUACGGAUGCGGUAAAAGUAGCUAGGCGAAAUGCGAGAGGCGAGAAACAACUUCAUUCCUGCCUUUUUCUCGCCAUUUCAUUGCGCGAGGAUCGAAAUGACCAGAUAUUAGGUAUGUUACACGAUAACGGUUACAUUCACGCUGCAUAUUUAAGAGACAGCCAGCUACUAUAAACCAGAAUUUGUAGGUGCAGUUCGAUUCGAUUGCCUGGAGAUGCAGCGAGGAUAUUGGAUAACGUACACGAUAUUAUUGGAUCUACCCUCAUUGAUCGAUGGAUAAAACUUUUUUGCCAAUGGACAGAGAGGACUUUUAUACGUACAAAAAUUACACUAGCCAACAUGGGAACCAAAAAUAGUGAUAUGCAACAUGCGAAGGGUGGAGUUCACCGUUCACCAUGACCCACCUACCUAUAGUAAUACGAGGGGCUGGGGUGACGACCAUGGGAAGACCCUUCGGACAGGGGGAGGAAUUGGGGCGAGGCCGAGAGCGUGGCUUCCAAAGGUUGAGGCGGGCACGGAAGUGGGUUAGAAAAUGUACCCCCUGUGCCAUAAAGUCUAUUAUGAUGUGUAAGAAUCACAGAACGUCGUGAUUUGUAUUCUUAUAAUGUAUUGUCGCAGCACCAUUGGAUUGAAAGUGAACUGGAAUUGUUAUACAAAUACACACGAUGUAUCGACGUUAUUUAAUUAGAUGAACAUAUAUGUAUAAUACACGUGUAUGUGUAUCUGACUGCAUCGUUUUAACAAUAUAACACAACCCAGGCAAAUGUUA